GACGUAGGAGGCGAGCGUUAUCCGGAUUCACUGGGCGUAAAGCGCAUGUAGGCGGUUGGACAAGUCGUGUGUUAAAGCCCCCGGCUCAACUGGGGGAGGUCAUGGGAGACUGUGCGACUUGAGGGCAAGAGAGGCACGUGGAACUCCCGGUGUAGCGGUGGAAUGCGUAGAGAUCAGGAAGAACACCAGUGGCGAAGGCGACGUGCUGGGUUGCACCUGACGCUGAGAUACGAAAGUGUGGGGAGCAAACGGG
Molecule: ribosomal RNA, 253 nt
Filed under: uncultured bacterium
Lineage: Bacteria
Description: partial 16S ribosomal RNA
Rfam family: Bacterial small subunit ribosomal RNA
Source: RNAcentral